RNAcentral lists this long non-coding RNA (568 nucleotides) under Rattus norvegicus (Norway rat). Its description in RNAcentral is "long non-coding RNA NONRATT028209". Lineage: Eukaryota; Metazoa; Chordata; Mammalia; Rodentia; Muridae. The record is from RNAcentral.
AAGUCAGAGCAGAAGAUAGCUUCCCUAGGAUCUGUUUUAAUGUUUGCUUCUCUACAACACAGGGUCUCAUGAAGCCUGGGCUGGCCUGGGACUCAACUGUGUAGCUGAGGCUAGCCUUGAACUUGAUUCUCUAGUGUCUCUACCUCUGGAUACUGGGAUUAUAAGCAUGUACCACCACGCCCAACUCAUGAGGUGCUGCAAAAAGAACCCAGGGCUUCCUGAAUGCUAGGAAGGCACGCUACCAACUGAGCCACAUCCCCACACCCUCCUCUGGGGAUAUACCCAGGUUCAAAUCCAAGGACUUAGCGACACACAUGCUAUGGGAUCUGGGCAUGCUUCUAACCUGUCUACUGAUGGCGAAAGCCAGAGAGCCCAGCUUCCCGUUUUAAGCUGUCCUUGGCACGUUUAACUGGUGGCCAUGUGGGACUGCUGGAAAAAGUUUUUGAGAUCACCAAGAGCUUUGACUUUCCUGCCCACAAAAACACAAUCAGCCUUGGCAGAUGUCCAACACGUGACCUUAGGUCCAUUUAAUGAAAACUGUAUUGAUUCAAAAAGAAAGAAAGAAAAA